CUAUUAUCAUAUAAUUUUUAAAGGUGUGUUAAUUUAAAUUUUGUUAGUGUUACUAUCAUAUAACUGUUUAGUUACUUCUGCAUUAUGUUUUGGUUACUGUUAGCUUGAAAUUCGGAUACCAUUUUUGUUACCUUGAUUUGAUAUUUUGGUUACUUUUUUAUGUUGUUAUGGUUACCGUGUAUUUGCUUAGUAUAUAUGGUUGACUAAACUGGUUUUGGUGUACAUGUUGUUUAUGUAUUGGUUACCAUUAAAACAUGUUUUGGUUACUAUCAUAUAAAUAUUUGGUUACUUCUUUAGUAUAUUUUUUGUUACUGUUAUUUUCUGAUUUAGAUUCUAUUUUUGUUUCCUUGAGUUGAGAUUUUGUUUCCAUUCGUGUUCCCUCAAUUUGGGAUUUUGGUUACUUUUUUUAUGUUAUUUUGGUUACCUUGUAUUUGCUUAGUAUACAUUGGUUGACUAAACUGGGUUUGGUCUACAUAUUUUUUUUGUGUUGGUUACCAUUAAAACAUAGUUUGGUUACUGUCAUAUAACUAUUCGGUUACUUUUUAGUAUGAUUAAACCAUGUAUUUUCUUAAUAUACAUUGAUGUAUUAUUUUUGUAAAUUCCUUCAGAUAUCUUCUACAAGGUUUAUGUUCUUCUAGUUCUACUUUCAUUUCCACAAACACAUCCUACAUGGGCUCUCUAUUCACUAAUCCCAAUGUAUUUUUCUUCCUCCCACAGGUUCAUAAUGUAGAAGUCAUUUCUAGAUAAUGAGAGCAGCCAUGAAGAAGAAAGUAGCAGCAACCAAAAAGCUCAAGUUUCAGGAAGAUUUGUACCAGAUUUUGAUUUGUUCGAUUGUCGUUGUCUUGUCCUUCUGAAUUGUGUUUCGUUCUUUGAUUUUUAUUGGAUAUCCAUAACCAUUUGUUAUGGUUAGUGAGUAUGUAAUGUUUUAUUGGAG
Molecule: long non-coding RNA, 934 nt
Filed under: Panax ginseng (ginseng)
Lineage: Eukaryota; Viridiplantae; Streptophyta; Magnoliopsida; Apiales; Araliaceae
Description: long non-coding RNA (PGIN_LNC003191)
Source: RNAcentral